RNAcentral lists this long non-coding RNA (7021 nucleotides) under Gallus gallus (chicken). RNAcentral's name for it is "lncRNA (ENSGALG00010014239.1)". Lineage: Eukaryota; Metazoa; Chordata; Aves; Galliformes; Phasianidae. The record is from RNAcentral.
ACUGGGAUAAAGCAGUGAAGAAGGGCUGAAGAAGGCCCAGCUGCCUAGUCAGCGACUGAGCUGACUUAUCUAUUCAGCAAAAACCUCCGAUGCUGUUUCUGCUACUUUCUAAUGAUUACAACAUUUUUUGAGGCAUGCUUUUUGUCAGCCAAAUGUGUAAAUGUUACAAUUAAUGUCAGUGUAGAUCUUGGAUUUUUGCUGAGGCUUGGACACUGUCCCAUGCAGAGCUUAUCUUGCCUGGGAGGUUUUCAAGAGAUGCUACAAAAAACACCCCCAAAAAGUCAGCGAAUAUUUACUUAGAUAUAUUGGAUCAUAGUCCAGUAUAUUCCUUUAUGCCUUGAGCUAUUUUUUCAAAAUCCAGACUGCACAGUUGUAUCUUAGGCUCGAGUACAGUCCUGAAAAGCAGCCUGUACGUUGCUGAUAGGUUCUGAUGCGUAUUGUGUAUCUUCCCUGAAAUGAACCCCUAUCUCCCGUUUGCAGAGCUUAUGCAGGGGCUGAGAAAUACAGUUUGCUUCCACACUGACUGCUCUACCUCUCAGAAAACAUUUGGAGGGAGGAGUAUACGUUGCUCACAGGAGCUGUGCUCUCCAGGGUGGGCUGUACCAGCACGCUGCCUGCUUCUCACCUCCCCCACACAGAAGUCAGUUGGAAAAUUUGGGAUUCUGGUGUUCAUGCAGAGUUACGCAAGUCACAGUCAAGCUGUUUAAAUCUCCGUAUGCAGCCCCAGAGGAACAUGACAGUGUUUGGUGCUGAUAAGAUAUGAGUCUGCACUUCUGAGUGCUUGCUCACGAGCAUUCCUACCGUGUCAGAGCAAGUUCUUGCUGAAGAAAAUGCGAAUACCUUACACUCUAUGACAAUGUUGCAAAUCAGAAAUAGUUGCAGUUACCUCACGCUAGUUCCCUCUGAGGCAGAACAAAUCCUAAGCAGAGAAACAGAGCAGAAACUGCACAGCUGAUGGAGUGUGAGGAGAAGAAAUCUGAACAUCAUUGUCUAAAUCUUUAUAUAAGGCUUCUAGACCUAACUGUCAAAGUUCAUUCAGCUGAGCUAAAAUACAAAACAAGGUACUUAGUGGCUUUGAAAUAAAACUAGAGAUUAUCGCAAGUGCUGCAGUUGUUCAAAUUCAGCUCCUGCCAAGUUUUCACACCACCGAUGCUUCUAAGAACAGAGAAACCUACCUUAGAAGCUUCUUCCCAAUUUGUAUCUUGCUAUUUUCAGUAUUAAAUUUAGAACAGUGUCUAAAUGAAACAUCUCAUCUUGUUUGUGGUGGCAUUCUUUUAAUGACAUUGUACCUCAUACACUUGACAUAAAGACUCAUACUGAGUGCUGCAGCUCCGUGGCAAGCAAAGCACCAUCCUGUAAAUGAAAGGAUCGCAUUCUCUUUGCAGGUUUUGUUCCUUCUGGCAAGCUAGAAGAUGUAAAAUAUGAACUGGAGAAAAAGGAGAGGAAGGAAGCAUCACACAUCAUCUAGCUAACGUAUUUUAAACACACUGUUCUUUUGGAAUGGUUUUGGUAGAGUCAUGAAUAACAAAACUGUGCCAUCAUCAGUUUCCAGGAAAUCCUCUUUCCAAUAGUUCUCAAGACAUCAGCCUUUUUGUGCUGCUCAAACAGCUUCUCUCCUGAACAAAUCACAAGGAUUUUAUUUUAAUCCAUGCAUAUUGUUUUAAGUGUAUAACUGAUGGGUUAUUAAAACAGGCAAUAGACCAUUAGCUGUGUGAAAAUUAGCGUGGAUUAAACCAAGCUUGUUCAGGUUCCGUCAGGGGUUCAAACAGCAAUGCAAGACACGUGGCCAAAUGCGCUAACUAACUGCUAGAGCCAAGAUGUAUUUGAUUUAUUGGCUUGAUAACCAUAGCUGACUUUGAGAUUGUCUAGGUCCUCUGAGUUUGAAGGGGUUCAAGUGAGGAGACUCUGUUUGAGUCUGUUUGUAUUUUAAAGGCAGAACGUGGCACUGAGGGUCAUGGUUAGCGGGCAUGGUGUUGGUGUGUUGAUGGUUGGACCAGAUGAUCUUAGUGGUGCUUUCUAACCUUAAUGAUUUAAUGAUUGUAUAGCUGAGCAAGUAUUAUAGGAUGCAUAUAUUAAAAAUGAAACUUCAACCAACGGGAAAAGAUAGCGUUUAGGUAGAUAAUGCCCGGGGAAAUCCCUGUAGUGAAAGCAUAGAAUUUAACCAUUGAUAAACCACCAGAGUACAAUUAGUUAACUGAAAAUCCGUCUGGAAAACAAAUCAGAAGUGCUAAGAAAAACUGUCUUGCUGCCUGCUGAAUUUAAUCAUCUUGCUUAUAGAAACUGUUACAGCAUUCGGUGUUAUAGGACUCCAUUUUUAAUGUACUUACAAUAUGUAAGAUACACUUAGGUAACUACAGCAUGUGUUUGUUCUACAGUUUUACUGGUGCAAGGCAAACAACUGUUGUUAAAGUGAGACUUUCGUGUUAUCAGAUAAAAGCAUGAAACGAGCUUCUAGGAAAAUGGGUUCCAGGUAGGAAAGGUGCCUCUGACUAUCACGCCAAAGCAGGCAUGCUAGUGAUAAAGAAAUAAGCUCCCACCUGGGAGAAAAGUUGCUGCUCCUCCUUCAGAGCAGUAAAGUACAAAAGGGACUCAGAAGAGCUAUGAGGAAAAAGAAAACAACUAUUUGUUAAGAGAAGCAUGUUAAUUUGGAAAGCAGAAUUAUUCAUAAAACAACCGGUACCUCAUAACACUAAUAACACAACUAGCACAUACAUAUACAUGAAUACUAGUAUAUAUACAACUUGUAUAUUCAUAAAACAACUAUGCUUGUACAAUUAGGGAAAAGCUGCCCAUCAAGAAAGGUAACUGCCUGUUAAUGAAUUGAGGCAGCUACUAUGUCACUACCAAUAAAUUCCAUUUUUUUUCUAGCAAUUUUGGUGUGGGCAUCAAAUUAACUUUUCUACAGAGGAGAAGCUCUUAUACAAAAGCCAUCUGACAGCAGGUUGGGGCAGUUCUAAUAAAAAAAAAUGCAAUGAAAUGGUUGUUGACUGAAGGGAAUGAGGAACGGGUUUCUAGCAGAGUAAACAGGUAAUGGAGAAGUUCAACCACAAGACUGCUUGUAAACCAGCACUGCCAUUUCACAUUUCUACUGUAUCCAAAUGGAUUGCUUCUUCAUACAACUGAUGCAUGGAUGAUUAUCCAUACAAUGUAGGCAGAUUUUUCUGAAAUAAUUAUACAGAAAGCUGAAGUUGGAGCUGAAUUCACAGAAUUACCACAGGAACAGAGAGGAGACUGCAGGCCUGCCCCAGGCCAUCGGGCCCGCAGGGCUACACUGAGGCGGUAGACAGCACUGCCUGCAUUUCUGCCCAUGAGGUUCCACAUGGAAAAAGUCCAUGGAGGGUGUUGCACGGAAGCCCCAGGAGACCUAUGUAAACUGUCACAAAGUUUACAGUGAGUAUCUUAUUUCCUGAUCUCUAUUACCCUAAUGAGAUAAUUAGAAGUUUAUUUUAAUACUGAGGUGUCAUGAAAACUCUCUUUGGGUCAAAGAGUGCAGGUGAGUAAAGUUCGCGGGGUAUAUUUCCUGUAUUUCUUAGCUCAAGUCACCAAGUAAUUUCUUCCUUCAGCACGUUAAAAAAGCAGUGACCAAUACCACCCAUAUGCUGUCCAUCUCCAGGAUUUCCAUUUGUCAGGUUCCACAUCAGAAACAUUGCAGAGGCAGCAUCUCUCUUAUUUUUCAGUUCUCUUUCAUAGACUACAGAAGUACUAAAUAAUCUUGUAACACUUCAAAAAAGCUUCACGUUGAACCCACAGAAAGCUCAAGUUCUGGAAUAUAGUAAUCCAUACCAGCACCUGUCUCAGGCAGUUGGUGGAAUCACAGAACAUCUUAGGUUGGAACUAAUUUAAAUUUUUUUAAAAAAAAACUAUAAAAAACUAUAUAAAAAACUAUAAAAACUAUAAAAAACUAUAAAACUAUUUAAAAAAAAUAUUUUUUUAACAGCACAGUUACUGCCAUCUCAUAUCUCCUACUGCUGAGUGCUCUAUUGGAGCUGCAGGAGCAUUUGGUCUGCAGAUCUUGAAGCCUUUUUGGCUGCUUCUUUGCCACCUAAUGGUGCCUGUAGAGCCCUGGUAAGCAAUGCUUUCUCUUUCUGUUCUCUGAAGACCUCUCUGCUUCCUGCCACUUGCAAGGAGUGGAGCAGCUCCUUCAGCUCCACUUUCCCCUAUAAAACCUGGAGGUGGCUCAAUAAGGAAGGAGUCGCACAAAAUGGCUGCAACGUACAUGGCACAUAAUAGGGCUUUAUGUCAGACCUCUAAAUUCAAGAGAGCAAUAACUAUAGCUGCAGAGAAAUACCAGAAGAAUUUCAAGCUCUCUUUCAUGUUUGUUCAGCUCUUACCCACACCAUACCUGCUUCUGUAGGGCUGGCAGAACAGCUUAUUUAUAUGUCUGGUUUCUGAGUGGGGGUUUUCAAAUGAAGACAAAAAAAUUAAGUGCUAAGGCUACUCAGAAUUUGAGUUUUAGGUACUUUUUACAUCCACAUUGCAUGACUCAGAGUACCAAGAGUUUCAUUCUCAGCAGUAUUCCCAGAAGCGUUAAGUGCUGAGAGCCAAGUUUUCAGUGAAUGAAUGGCUCUUUCAUACACACACAUGAUGCAGUAAGUAAGAACCCUGUCGAGGAUGCAGUAAGUAAGAACCCUGUCGAGACCCAGUUAGUGGGGGACCGUACCCCAAGGUCCCCAUACAGACUGUGGAAAAGUAAAAAGACCACUGUAGGAGGCACUUCCCAUUUGGAUAGAUGCUACUGACUGUGUUCUCAGAAUAGCAGCAGCCCCACAUAACAAACAAUCUGAUUUGCUUACAUCUUUUUUGAACCACAGCACUUUGUAUGUUGUUCAAGGCCCUUUCAGAUGUCAGAGAAGAUCUUCAUACAACCUAAAUUUUCUGAGGUAAAUUUUGAUUUAUUUAAAGAGAUCUGACAUUCAGAAAGUCCUGUUGCCCAGUUCCUGACAAUGAAGCCCUGGGAAACUACUGUAUGACGCUUACUCAAACAUUAUUCAGUUUUCAAAAGUUGACUUAAAUUACAUUGCGAGUAAUCUAAGCCCACUGAGGACUAGUCCUCUUCUUCUAACCUCACCCUCUGGUUGGUAUUGAUUCUUGUAACCAAAAUGGCAUUUAUAAUUGUACGGCUAAUUAAAUGGGAUUGGUAGUUUCAUUUAUUGUUUUUAAAUGAGCCCACAAUAAUGCUGCAGUAAGGCUGAGACUAUCUGAAUAUGAUGUGUUUCAUAAACCCUCUGCUCAUUUCAGACAGAGAUUAAGUAAUCCUUACUCUUGAAAUAGGAAAGUGUGUCAUCAGACAAAAAGCUCCGAUGCUUAAGAUCAUACUGAAAUAGUCAUUCUGUUUGUUCAGCUGUACAUAUCAUGAUAAGUCUGAGCUCACUGCCUUUCUGUAUUAUAAAGGCACUCUACUUUAAAUCGCUUAUCUUUUCUAAGCAUAUGCUUAAAUACCCCUGGAUAGAGAGAAAAGAAGAAAGAAGAAAGGAGGAAGGGAAUGAAAGGGAAGGGGAGGGUAGAUGUAAAGGACUUGUUGUUUUUGAUUAAUAGUGAUUAGUGAUGCUAAAACUAAUCAGAAAAGUAGCAAUGGGUUCUAAGCAGGUUUAAAGACAGAAUCUUCCUCCUCUCUAGACCCAUCUGUAUUUGAACGUGACAUCUUCCUCCUUCACAAUUCACAGUGACCAAAAUAAGAAUAUCAAUAGCGUGGGUAGAAAACCAGAAGAUGAAAGCACAAACAAAAAUAUCUGUGGUCAUGUGUACCUGUCUGAAAUAUGCAUUUGAAGAGGAGAGCAAUCCAUGUGCUGAACAGUCACAAAGAUAUCAGUCCUCUUGGGUUAAGGAAUAAGUUCAGCUAGAAAACAGGUUAGCUUCAGUGCAACAUGCAAACUGAAAAUGUUCUAUGCUUAUUAUAAAGCCAAAUUUGAGUAUGCAUUCACGUGGAGGCCAGAGAACAUCCCUUUAUCCAGGCACCCCUCCCCUCCCAACACCUGCAUCCGAAGCAGAGGGAACCUCGAGCUUCUCAGAGACAAGGGUGCCACAGUCACAUUUUUUCUCUAUCACACCCUGUCAAGAACAAUUUCUAGAUGUGUUUUAUAGUGCUUUGUAAAUAUUUGACAUUUUUUUUCCUAUGCUUGCUUACUUUUCUUUAAACUCAUAGGUCAUAUGCAUAAGCAUAUAUGACCAUAAGUAUUGGCACAGCUGUGGUUGUGUAGUGAGAAUGAGUAUGACCACUGCCGGUGGGUGGGACCUACUCAUCACUUCAAGUUAGGUACAUGUUUAAGAGAUUUGUUUGAUAUGGACACCACAUCAAAGCUCCACAGACACCAUAUCAAAGCUCCACAAAGCUCCACAGAGCUCCACAGUAAGUGCUGUGUUGAGCCAGGGCCUAAAUGUAGUUUGCCAUGUGGGGCCUUCUUGGCUUCGCUGAUUACCUACCUGGCAGCCUCGCUCUCUUAGAUGAGAACUCCUUCACUUCAGAACCUGUGUUCAGCAACUUAAAGCCUACUUUCUCAUAGUAAGAAAACAGUGAUUAUACUCUCAUGGUAAAACGUUGAAUUAAUACUCUCUUGAGCCGAGAUUACAAGAUUAGGAGAUCAUCAUAAAAAUCUGAAAACACUGCAUAUUAGGAGUUAUAACACUCAUAUUAGGAGUUACACAAACUACAAAUAAAAAUGUUGUCUGCUGCCUUUUGUAAAAUUCUGCUUACAUUUUCUUUCUUUCCUUUUAAAAUACCGUGUAACUAGAGUUUUAUGUCUUGCCAAGUUUAGCCAGGUGAGAAAACAUGAACCUCUUUUUCUUAACUAAAGGGGAAAUAUGAAACAGUUAUAGUAGCAAAGCAAACUUAUUAGCAUACUUUUUCUGCUUUUUUUCCUUCCAAAAUCUUCUGUGAAUCCAAUUUUUCCAUAAAAUACGGUUGUUCAAAUAAACCGUGGGCUGUGCAGGAGCCACCAAACUCGUGGCUUGCAAAACAAUCCUCAUAUUCCAGCACAACCACUUUAGGUCAUUGAAACUUGACCUGUGGCUGGAAUGUUGCCCG